Molecule: ribosomal RNA, 480 nt
Filed under: Achromobacter xylosoxidans
Lineage: Bacteria; Pseudomonadati; Pseudomonadota; Betaproteobacteria; Burkholderiales; Alcaligenaceae
Description: bacterial SSU rRNA
Rfam family: Bacterial small subunit ribosomal RNA
Source: RNAcentral
AUUGAACGCUAGCGGGAUGCCUUACACAUGCAAGUCGAACGGCAGCACGGACUUCGGUCUGGUGGCGAGUGGCGAACGGGUGAGUAAUGUAUCGGAACGUGCCCAGUAGCGGGGGAUAACUACGCGAAAGCGUAGCUAAUACCGCAUACGCCCUACGGGGGAAAGCAGGGGAUCGCAAGACCUUGCACUAUUGGAGCGGCCGAUAUCGGAUUAGCUAGUUGGUGGGGUAACGGCUCACCAAGGCGACGAUCCGUAGCUGGUUUGAGAGGACGACCAGCCACACUGGGACUGAGACACGGCCCAGACUCCUACGGGAGGCAGCAGUGGGGAAUUUUGGACAAUGGGGGAAACCCUGAUCCAGCCAUCCCGCGUGUGCGAUGAAGGCCUUUCGGGUUGUAAAGCUCUUUUGGCAGGAAAGAAACGUCGUGGGUUAAUACCCCGCGAAACUGACGGUACCUGCAGAAUAAGCACCGCUAAUAC